GAUGAACGCUGGCGGCGUGCCUAAUACAUGCAAGUCGAGCGGUAAGGUUCUGCACCCACUAUUUGACCAGAUAAGUUCCCCUCAAAAGGAAUACUGUCUGCAGCGGUAUUCUCUGGCUAGAGAAUACGGUCGAAUGAUGAGUGUAGAAUACACGAGCGGCGGACGGCUGAGUAACGCGUAGGAACGUACCCCAUAGUGAGGGAUAAGCACCGGAAACGGUGUCUAAUACCGCAUAAUCUCUUCGGAGCAAAGCCUAGUGCGCUUUGGGAGCGGCCUGCGUAUGAUUAGUUAGUUGGUGAGGUAAUGGCUCACCAAGACGACGAUCAUUAGCUGGUCUGAGAGGAUGAUCAGCCAGACUGGGACUGAGACACGGCCCAGACUCCGUACGGGAGGCAGCAGUAGGGAAUUUUCCGCAAUGGGCGAAAGCCUGACGGAGCAACGCCGCGUGC
RNAcentral lists this ribosomal RNA (449 nucleotides) under uncultured bacterium. RNAcentral describes it as "bacterial SSU rRNA". It matches the Rfam family "Bacterial small subunit ribosomal RNA", at positions 28 to 404 of the family's 1533-position model. The record is from RNAcentral.